UCAGCGUCGUUUCCGGAGGUGGGACCGUC
This 29-nucleotide small RNA is filed under the name Bombyx mori (domestic silkworm). Its description in RNAcentral is "ovarian small RNA-25703". The record is from RNAcentral. Lineage: Eukaryota; Metazoa; Arthropoda; Insecta; Lepidoptera; Bombycidae.